CGCCGAACGGGUGAGUAACACGUGGGCAAUCUGCCCUGCACUCUGGGACAAGCCCUGGAAACGGGGUCUAAUACCGGAUACGACCACUAGGGGCAUCCCUGGUGGUGGAAAGCUCCGGCGGUGCAGGAUG
Molecule: ribosomal RNA, 130 nt
Filed under: Streptomyces klenkii
Lineage: Bacteria; Bacillati; Actinomycetota; Actinomycetes; Kitasatosporales; Streptomycetaceae
Description: partial 16S ribosomal RNA
Rfam family: Bacterial small subunit ribosomal RNA
Source: RNAcentral